GGCGCACGGUGGAUGCCUUGGCACUAGAAGCCGAUGAAGGACGUUACUAACGACGAUAUGCUUUGGGGAGCUGUAAGUAAGCUUUGAUCCAGAGAUUUCCGAAUGGGGAAACCCAGCAUGAGUUAUGUCAUGUUAUCGAUAUGUGAAUACAUAGCAUAUCAGAAGGCACACCCGGAGAACUGAAACAUCUUAGUACCCGGAGGAAGAGAAAGAAAAUUCGAUUCCCUUAGUAGCGGCGAGCGAAACGGGAAGAGCCCAAACCAACAAGCUUGCUUGUUGGGGUUGUAGGACACUCUAUACGGAGUUACAAAGGACGACAUUAGACGAAUCAUCUGGAAAGAUGAAUCAAAGAAGGUAAUAAUCCUGUAGUCGAAAAUGUUGUCUCUCUUGAGUGGAUCCUGAGUACGACGGAGCACGUGAAAUUCCGUCGGAAUCUGGGAGGACCAUCUCCUAAGGCUAAAUACUCUCUAGUGACCGAUAGUGAACCAGUACCGUGAGGGAAAGGUGAAAAGCACCCCGGAAGGGGAGUGAAAUAGAACCUGAAACCGUGUGCUUACAAGUAGUCAGAGCCCGUUAAUGGGUGAUGGCGUGCCUUUUGUAGAAUGAACCGGCGAGUUACGAUUUGAUGCAAGGUUAAGCAGUAAAUGUGGAGCCGUAGCGAAAGCGAGUCUGAAUAGGGCGUUUAGUAUUUGGUCGUAGACCCGAAACCAGGUGAUCUACCCUUGGUCAGGUUGAAGUUCAGGUAACACUGAAUGGAGGACCGAACCGACUUACGUUGAAAAGUGAGCGGAUGAACUGAGGGUAGCGGAGAAAUUCCAAUCGAACCUGGAGAUAGCUGGUUCUCUCCGAAAUAGCUUUAGGGCUAGCCUCAAGUGAUGAUUAUUGGAGGUAGAGCACUGUUUGGACGAGGGGCCCCUCUCGGGUUACCGAAUUCAGACAAACUCCGAAUGCCAAUUAAUUUAACUUGGGAGUCAGAACAUGGGUGAUAAGGUCCGUGUUCGAAAGGGAAACAGCCCAGACCACCAGCUAAGGUCCCAAAAUAUAUGUUAAGUGGAAAAGGAUGUGGCGUUGCCCAGACAACUAGGAUGUUGGCUUAGAAGCAGCCAUCAUUUAAAGAGUGCGUAAUAGCUCACUAGUCGAGUGACACUGCGCCGAAAAUGUACCGGGGCUAAACAUAUUACCGAAGCUGUGGAUUGUCCUUUGGACAAUGGUAGGAGAGCGUUCUAAGG
This 1229-nucleotide ribosomal RNA is filed under the name Staphylococcus aureus. Its description in RNAcentral is "partial 23S ribosomal RNA". It matches the Rfam family "Bacterial large subunit ribosomal RNA", at positions 16 to 1246 of the family's 2925-position model. The record is from RNAcentral. Lineage: Bacteria; Bacillati; Bacillota; Bacilli; Caryophanales; Staphylococcaceae.